This 488-nucleotide ribosomal RNA is filed under the name uncultured Corynebacterium sp. RNAcentral's name for it is "partial 16S ribosomal RNA". The record is from RNAcentral. Lineage: Bacteria; Bacillati; Actinomycetota; Actinomycetes; Mycobacteriales; Corynebacteriaceae.
CACGUAGUUAGCCGGUGCUUCUUAUACAGGUACCGUCACAAAAGCUUCGUCCCUGUCGAAAGGAGUUUACAACCCGAAGGCCUUCAUCCCCCACGCGGCGUCGCUGCAUCAGGCUUCCGCCCAUUGUGCAAUAUUCCCCACUGCUGCCUCCCGUAGGAGUCUGGGCCGUAUCUCAGUCCCAAUGUGGCCGUCCACCCUCUCAGGCCGGCUACCCGUCGACGCCUUGGUAGGCCAUUACCCCACCAACAAGCUGAUAGGCCGCGAGCUCAUCUUGCACCGAAAAAACUUUCCACAACUGACACUAAACAGCUGUCCUAUCCGGUAUUAGACCCAGUUUCCCAAGCUUAUCCCGAAGUGCAAGGCAGAUCACCCACGUGUUACUCACCCGUUCGCCACUCGAGUACCCGCAGCAAGCUGCAGGCCUUUCCGUUCGACUUGCAUGUGUUAAGCACGCCGCCAGCGUUCGUCCUGAGCCAGGAUCAAACUCU